Paramuricea clavata is the source of this 768-nucleotide non-coding RNA. The record is from the annotation of a GenBank genome assembly. NCBI's taxonomy places the organism in Eukaryota, Metazoa, Cnidaria, Anthozoa, Malacalcyonacea, Plexauridae.
CAUAAAAUUAAUUAAACUAUAAAAAUCAUCCAAACAUCAAAUAUUUAUAAACCUCAGGUUGGAUUGCUAAUUAGAAACCUGCUAGAUUUCAGUAGAUCAUGUGAUCAUGCACUUCAAAUCUGUCAUACCAUGUGUGACAGUGACUGGUUAUGGUUUUUCAAUACCCUAGAUUAUAUUUAAGCUGGACAUUUGGUCAAAUGCAAUAACAUUUUAAAGAUGUGACCUUAAAAAAACUAAUGUACUUCUUUGGUGGCAAAAGGGUUCAAGGAAUACAUUUAAUAUUGAUUAAUUACAUCACUUCACUAGUCACACAUUAUUUACAGUAUCUUUGGCAAAUGAAAAACAUCUAACAGUAACAUAUAACUUUACAAUAUUUUCUAAACACAGGGAUUGACAUUCUUUAGAGAUUUCCAUAUCAUAAUUUGCAAUAAUAUUGCACCACAAGCUUUUCACAAGGGAAGAAACCAAAACUUCAUUCACUAUUUUGUCUACUGGGAGACAAGUGAACUUGUCUUUUACUAAAAACUAACUCACUAACUUCCAUUACACUUACAAGCCAUAAAUGAGGUGACCAAAGGCCACCACAACGAUUAAAUGUACUCAUUGUCCUUUGUUGCAGUUCGCAUUGAAUACAUCAAGGCUUGAAUUUCUUUGUUUCUCUGGGAGUGCCACCUGGAACAAUUCUUGCUUUUUCGAUACAAAGAUCUUAUCAUGAGUUCAUAACCAGCCAAAUAGGUCAAUGGCCAAGCUCUUGUGAUGAUACAGAAA